Long non-coding RNA from Anolis carolinensis (green anole), 2120 nucleotides. RefSeq lists it as uncharacterized. The transcript is spliced from 2 exons. The record is from RefSeq and is a predicted model, not a curated record. Lineage: Eukaryota; Metazoa; Chordata; Lepidosauria; Squamata; Anolidae.
CCUCAGGGUAUCUGGGCCAUCUUUUUCUAUCUUAUUAUUAUUAAGCCUCAUUUUCGUUCCAUCAGUGUAAAAUGCAUCUUCUAUUUUCAUUCAGCAGAUGUCACUGCAACACAGGCCAAAUUUGGAAAAUUGUUUGGAGAGGAAUAAGCAGAUAUGCAUACUUAGAAAAGCUUUUCCAUUUUUAUUUCUGAAUGGCUGUUUUUUCUAUACAAAGACAUUUCAUUAACUCACAAUGAACAAUGUACUGUAUUAUUUAUUCAAGUAUCUACUGCCUGGCAGUUAUGUGAAUUUAAUACAGGAACAUAUUGUAAAAGAGGCCAAAGCAAAGUGUGCUAAGCACCUGUCAACAUUUAAUAGAUAGCAUAGAGUGGCUUUUAAAAACAAAGCAAUUGACCAUCUAUCAGCAUGUGGAACAUUGUCUUAAAAAUUCAAAAUAUACUAGAUUUCAAGAAGUGAAUAAUUUUGAAUAUUUUAUAAGUUUAUGUAGCCCACAGGUUUGCCACAAAUUUCCAUUCUCAAAUAUGAUUAGGUCUUAAUCUAACAUAAACAUUCUAAAUAAAGAACAAUAGAUCAUCUGGUGAAACAAAUUAUACAGAAUAUGCAUUUUCAACAUUUAUUUAUCUACAACUGAUGUGAAUAUCCAUGUAUGAACAAGUUUGUGAAUUUUUAUAUUCAGUACCUGUUACGAGUCAGACACCAGCCAAUAUAAAUAACUGUUUAUUGCAAAACAACACAAAAGAGACUAGAAAACAACCAAAAAAGGGCUCAAAACACUUUCUCUUCAGUGUGAAGUAACAAUGUCCAAAAAGAACUCAAAAAACCCAAACUCAGGAUAUAAUCUGGAUUAUCCUGGGAAAUAAUCCGGAUUAAAACAAACUAUGCCGAAAUGGCUGGAAACUCACUCCACCUACUUGAUGGAGCUUAGCAAACACAGGAAAGCAACCAGCAAUAACCCACAGUGACCAGAGGCCACACUGGUCCUCAAAACUUCAUUGUGAAGCUAAACUGCGUAGUAAAGGAGAAGUCACAGCUGCCACAUCCUGUCCGCAUCAUUAGGGAGAAGUCACAGGCAUCGAGUUCCAAUCCGCGUCAUUAGAGAGUAGUCACAAUAACCGAGUUCCAGUCCACGUUGCUAGGGAGAAGUCAAAGGCAUCGAGUUCCAAUCCGCAUCGUUAGGGAGAAGUCACAAGCUCCGAAUCCCAGUCCAAGGUCAACACAAACAGCCAAAGCGACGGAGGCAAGCCGGCAGCUAAUGCAUAAAACCAACACAGGACAAUCCAGCGCAAACCCACACAAUGCCAGCCCCCAUUGCCACUGAAAACCCGGGUUAACACUUACAUCCCAAAGCAGUCUUCCAAACACGUCUCCUGAAACAGAGAUCCUGAAAGCGCCCAACAAACACCUUGCCGAUUGCAAUGUUACAUUAGCAACAAACUUACUUUUAUUUACAAGUCCUCCUCCGAACUUGAGCCAGCUAACGCCCUAUCCACAGCUGAACCUUGUUGCUGCAAAUCCUCAUCGGAUCUGGAGUCGCCCAACGCCCCACCAAACCCACCUCCAGCUGCUGCCCUUCUACGAUCUCUCCAGCCAGUCCACCUUCUAUCCAAACCCAUAACUCCCCAGGAUCCAGCUGUAUCUUCGCUGUGCCAUCCCUCAAAUGUACCACUGCUUGUGAGUUCCUCAAAAAUAUCCCAGAUCUCUUGAACCCUAGUCCAAUCCAUCUCUUCACUCCCAGAGUCCGAUAUCCCAUCCUCCUGACUCCCAGCCCCACAAUCCCCUUCAAAACCCUCAAAGGAAUCAUCAUCAGCGGAUUCUCUUCUUUUGUUGCUCCUCAUCAGAGUCUUGCAGUUUUCCUGCCUCUUCUAACACAACUAGUAAAUCCAAGAUUGCAUCAAUGGUGGCAAGAACACCAGGUCCAGAGGCAACAAAGCAGGCCAAAACCAUAACAUUAGUAUCACUUUGUUUGACAUUGGGAUGACAUUCUUCUGUUUGAACUCACUGCUUGUUUUUCACUAAAGGCCAGAUUUUUUCUCUUUGAAUCAUCUGUCCAGAGAACAUUGUUUCAGAAGUCUUGUAGAUCCUCUAUGUGAUUGCUAAUAAACUUCAGAUGGGACACACUG